Blyttiomyces helicus is the source of this 80-nucleotide non-coding RNA. The record is from the annotation of a GenBank genome assembly. NCBI's taxonomy places the organism in Eukaryota, Fungi, Chytridiomycota, Chytridiomycetes.
GCACACUUGGCGGAGGGGUCUAACGCUGGACUCAAGAUCCAGUAUCAAAAGAUGUGUGGGUUGGAACCCCAGAGUGUGCA